RNAcentral lists this ribosomal RNA (498 nucleotides) under uncultured Glomeromycotina. RNAcentral describes it as "partial small subunit ribosomal RNA". It matches the Rfam family "Eukaryotic small subunit ribosomal RNA", at positions 591 to 1092 of the family's 1831-position model. Lineage: Eukaryota; Fungi; Glomeromycota. The record is from RNAcentral.
CCAAUAGCGUAUAUUAAAGUUGUUGCAGUUAAAAAGCUCGUAGUUGAAUUUCGGGGUUCUUCCGUUGGUCAGGCUAACCAGUCUGUACUAGCGUGUAGAAUUCCUACCUUCUGGGGAACCAUCAUGUUAUUAAUUUAGCGUGGUGGGAAACCAGGACCAUUACCUUGAAAAAAUUAGAGUGUUCAAAGCAGGCUUACGUCUGAAUACAUUAGCAUGGAAUAAUAAAAUAGGACGGUGGUCCUGUUUUGUUGGUUUCUGAAUCACCGUAAUGAUUAAUAGGGAUAGUUGGGGGCAUUAGUAUUCAAUUGUCAGAGGUGAAAUUCUUGGAUUUAUUGAAGACUAACUUCUGCGAAAGCAUUUGCCAAGGAUGUUUUCAUUAAUCAAGAACGAAAGUUAGGGGAUCGAAGACGAUCAGAUACCGUCGUAGUCUUAACCAUAAACUAUGCCGACUAGGGAUCGGACGAUGUUAAAUUUUAUUGACUCGUUCGGCGCCUUACG